CUGGCAGAGGAGUCAUCAUGAUCAGGCAGGUGGCUUUCCCAGAGCGAGGCUCAUCCUUUGCACUCUGGAUGUGCUUACCCCUAAGAUUUCCCCAAAAUGCAGGAAACUCAACUGCAUAAUUUGUAGUAUGGAGGAUUGUGUUUGCGCUCUCCCCUG
Melopsittacus undulatus (budgerigar) is the source of this 156-nucleotide small nuclear RNA. Its record names the gene U1. It matches the Rfam family "U1 spliceosomal RNA". Rfam says of the family: U1 is a small nuclear RNA (snRNA) component of the spliceosome (involved in pre-mRNA splicing). Its 5' end forms complementary base pairs with the 5' splice junction, thus defining the 5' donor site of an intron. There are significant differences in sequence and secondary structure between metazoan and yeast U1 snRNAs, the latter being much longer (568 nucleotides as compared to 164 nucleotides in human). The record is from Ensembl. Lineage: Eukaryota; Metazoa; Chordata; Aves; Psittaciformes; Psittaculidae.